Molecule: ribosomal RNA, 934 nt
Filed under: Megasporia cavernulosa
Lineage: Eukaryota; Fungi; Basidiomycota; Agaricomycetes; Polyporales; Polyporaceae
Description: eukaryotic LSU rRNA
Rfam family: Eukaryotic large subunit ribosomal RNA
Source: RNAcentral
UAUCAAUAAGCGGAGGAAAAGAAACUAACAAGGAUUCCCCUAGUAACUGCGAGUGAAGCGGGAAGAGCUCAAAUUUAAAAUCUGGCGGUCUUGGGCCGUCCGAGUUGUAGUCUGGAGAAGUGCUUUCCGCGCUGGACCAUGUACAAGUCUCUUGGAACAGAGCGUCAUAGAGGGUGAGAAUCCCGUCUUUGACAUGGACUGCCAGUGCUUUGUGAUGCGCUCUCAAAGAGUCGAGUUGUUUGGGAAUGCAGCUCAAAAUGGGUGGUAAAUUCCAUCUAAAGCUAAAUAUUGGCGAGAGACCGAUAGCGAACAAGUACCGUGAGGGAAAGAUGAAAAGCACUUUGGAAAGAGAGUUAAACAGUACGUGAAAUUGCUGAAAGGGAAACGCUUGAAGUCAGUCGCGUUGUUUGGAACUCAGCCUUGCUUACCGCUUGGUGCACUUUCUGAAUGACGGGCCAGCAUCGAUUUUGACCGCUGGAAAAGGGCCAGGGGAAGGUGGCACCUUCGGGUGUGUUAUAGCCUCUGGUCGCAUACAGCGGUUGGGAUCGAGGAAUGCAGCGCGCCGCAAGGCAGGGGUUCGCCCACUUCCGCGCUUAGGAUGCUGGCGUAAUGGCUUUAAACGACCCGUCUUGAAACACGGACCAAGGAGUCUAACAUGCCUGCGAGUGUUUGGGUGGAAAACCCGAGCGCGUAAUGAAAGUGAAAGUUGAGACCUCUGUCGUGGAGGGCAUCGACGCCCGGACCUGAAGUUUUCUGACGGAUCCGCGGUAGAGCAUGUAUGUUGGGACCCGAAAGAUGGUGAACUAUGCCUGAAUAGGGUGAAGCCAGAGGAAACUCUGGUGGAGGCUCGUAGCGAUUCUGACGUGCAAAUCGAUCGUCAAAUUUGGGUAUAGGGGCGAAAGACUAAUCGAACCAUCUAGUAGCUGGUUCCUGC